UGAUAAUUGACAACUUAUACAAAUAAAAUCGAUUUCAAUGUUGAAAUGUCUAGUCUGCUGCUUGCCAACUUGGACAGAUGUUUCACAAAUGGUUACAGUGCAUUCACCUCUCUGAGGAAAUGUUAACUUUUCCACUGACUGUUUAUUUCACUUGGAUUUCCGUCUUAGCCGAAUAUAAAUCUACAACUAUAUGUGAAAAUACCGAACUGAAGCUUCAUUGCAAAGAGCCCAAACUUCUCAAUAUCUAUUCAGCUGUGUAUGGAAGUUUUGCCUAUGAAAAGAAUACGUGUCCUGCAGAAACAGACCGGCGAUCUCCCUAUG
This is a non-coding RNA of Pelobates cultripes (western spadefoot toad), 321 nucleotides long. The record is from the annotation of a GenBank genome assembly. NCBI's taxonomy places the organism in Eukaryota, Metazoa, Chordata, Amphibia, Anura, Pelobatidae.